RNAcentral lists this ribosomal RNA (236 nucleotides) under uncultured bacterium. Its description in RNAcentral is "partial 16S ribosomal RNA". It matches the Rfam family "Bacterial small subunit ribosomal RNA", at positions 98 to 334 of the family's 1533-position model. The record is from RNAcentral.
CCGCACGGGUGAGUAACACGUACCCAACCUGCCGUCUACUCUUGGACAGCCUUCUGAAAGGAAGAUUAAUACAAGAUGGCAUCAUGAGUCCGCAUGUUCACAUGAUUAAAGGUAUUCCGGUAGACGAUGGGGAUGCGUUCCAUUAGAUAGUAGGCGGGGUAACGGCCCACCUAGUCUUCGAUGGAUAGGGGUUCUGAGAGGAAGGUCCCCCACAUUGGAACUGAGACACGGUCCAA